UACAGAGGUCCCAAGCGUUGUUCGGAUUCACUGGGCGUAAAGGGUGCGUAGGCGGUCGGGUAAGUCUGAUGUGAAAUCUCACAGCUUAACUGUGAAACUGCAUUGGAUACUAUUCGGCUUGAGAGUUGGAGGGGGGACUGGAAUUCUUGGUGUAGCAGUGAAAUGCGUAGAUAUCAAGAGGAACACCAGUGGCGAAGGCGAGUCCCUGGACAUUUCCUGACGCUGAGGCACGAAAGCCAGGGGAGCAAACGGG
RNAcentral lists this ribosomal RNA (253 nucleotides) under uncultured bacterium. Its description in RNAcentral is "partial 16S ribosomal RNA". It matches the Rfam family "Bacterial small subunit ribosomal RNA", at positions 524 to 776 of the family's 1533-position model. The record is from RNAcentral.